GGGCGUUUAGCUCAGUUGGUAGAGCAGCUCGCUUACAACGAGCAGGUCGUCGGUUCGAGCCCGGCAGCGCCCACCA
Molecule: transfer RNA, 76 nt
Filed under: Actinomycetota bacterium
Lineage: Bacteria; Bacillati; Actinomycetota
Description: tRNA-Val
Rfam family: tRNA
About the family: Transfer RNA (tRNA) molecules are approximately 80 nucleotides in length. Their secondary structure includes four short double-helical elements and three loops (D, anti-codon, and T loops).
Source: RNAcentral